UACGUAGGGUGCGAGCGUUAAUCGGAAUUACUGGGCGUAAAGCGUGCGCAGGCGGUUCGUUAAGUUCGUUGUGAAAGCCCCGGGCUCAACCUGGGAACUGCAAUGGAAACUGGCGGGCUUGAAUGCGGCAGAGGGGGGUGGAAUUCCGCGUGUAGCAGUGAAAUGCGUAGAGAUGCGGAGGAACACCGAUGGCGAAGGCAGCCCCCUGGGUCAACACUGACGCUCAUGCACGAAAGCGUGGGGAGCAAACAGG
RNAcentral lists this ribosomal RNA (253 nucleotides) under uncultured bacterium. RNAcentral's name for it is "partial 16S ribosomal RNA". It matches the Rfam family "Bacterial small subunit ribosomal RNA", at positions 524 to 776 of the family's 1533-position model. The record is from RNAcentral.